This 115-nucleotide ribosomal RNA is filed under the name Klebsiella pneumoniae subsp. pneumoniae. Lineage: Bacteria; Pseudomonadati; Pseudomonadota; Gammaproteobacteria; Enterobacterales; Enterobacteriaceae. The record is from RNAcentral.
CCUGGCGGCACUAGCGCGGUGGUCCCACCUGACCCCAUGCCGAACUCAGAAGUGAAACGCCGUAGCGCCGAUGGUAGUGUGGGGUCUCCCCAUGUGGUUUGGGAGAAGGCUCUGC